RNAcentral lists this ribosomal RNA (332 nucleotides) under uncultured bacterium. RNAcentral's name for it is "partial 16S ribosomal RNA". It matches the Rfam family "Bacterial small subunit ribosomal RNA", at positions 338 to 667 of the family's 1533-position model. The record is from RNAcentral.
CCUACGGGUGGCAGCAGUGAGGAAUAUUGGUCAAUGGGCUUACGCCUGAACCAGCCAAGUCGCGUGAGGGAAGACUGCCCUAUGGGUUGUAAACCUCUUUUGUCAGGGAGCAAUUGGCGCUACGUGUAGCGUUAUCGAUAGUACCUGAAGACAAAGCAUCGGAUAACUCAGUGCCAGCAGCCGCGGUAAUACGGAGGAGGCGAGCGUUAUCCGGAUUGAGUGGGUUUAAGGGGAGCGUAGGCGGAAUGCCAAGUCAGCGGUAAAAUCGCGGGGCUCAACCUCGCUCCGCCGUUGAAACUGGCGUUCUUGAGUGGGCGAGAGGUAUGCGGAAU